UACGUAGGGUGCAAGCGUUGUCCGGAAUUAUUGGGCGUAAAGAGCUCGUAGGCGGUUUGUCGCGUCGGCUGUGAAAACUCAGGGCUCAACCCUGAGCCUGCAGUCGAUAUGGGCAGACUAGAGUAUGGCAGGGGAGACUGGAAUUCCUGGUGUAGCGGUGAAAUGCGCAGAUAUCAGGAGGAACACCGGUGGCGAAGGCGGGUCUCUGGGCCGAUACUGACGCUGAGGAGCGAAAGCGUGGGGAGCGAACAGG
This 253-nucleotide ribosomal RNA is filed under the name uncultured bacterium. RNAcentral describes it as "partial 16S ribosomal RNA". It matches the Rfam family "Bacterial small subunit ribosomal RNA", at positions 524 to 776 of the family's 1533-position model. The record is from RNAcentral.